CCCCUACUCUAGAGGCACAAGUACUCAACAGCAGUUUGAAGAGGGAACUCUCUGAAGAAGAUGAGGAGGGUGAGAAAAACACUAAAGGACCUCUUUUGGACGAGGAAAUUUCUGACAACCUGAGAAGAUAUCUGAAGCCAAAAAGUGCUGCUGUGGAGGAGUUGGAGGCUCUGUUACUGCAAGAUGCUGAUCCAUUGGCUGUUACUAUGAAUGGGCAACACAUUAAGCAAGAAGUAGAAUGGUCAGAUGAUGAAACAGAUAUGCAAGAGAAAGUAUUAAAGCCAUUAUCACCAUCUGCAUCACCACCCAUACCACCACUGCCAUCACCAGUAACACCUCCACCAGGAAAGGAUAAAAAGACAGUAAUGUUUAAUUUAAAGCUUCCAAGUGGCAAGUCCAUUCCAGCAACCUUCGUUACAGACCCAAAAGCAGCCUUCACAAAGACGAUUAGAAUGACCAAACCAACCCCCUUGAAUAGUGUUCCCAUAAAGAUCAAGACUGUAACUGGUGACCAGGUCAGGGCCUCUGUCUCCCAGUCAUCUCUAAUGCUAUCAUCACUACUACCAAAGCAACCACCACCACUCCUGCAGGAGGACACCCCCACCUUGAAGAAGGAAAAUAGAGACAGCACUCCAAGAACUUCCAGGAGCCCUACACCUUGCACUGAGCAGGUCUAUAAGACAGUCAGACAAAAUGUACUUCGAAACCCUGUUAUAGAGGAUGAAGAGGAGCUCUAUGGUAAAUAUGUAGCCGCUGCCAUGAGGAAGCUAACCAGCAGAUCCAGGUCUCUGGCAAAGAUGCGUAUUCAGCAAGUUCUUUUCCAUCUUGAGGAGUCAGACAGGGCAUGUGACUAGGGCAGGAUGGACAACAGAGACCUAACUAAGGUGCUGGGUGAAGUGCUACAAAAACAGAGACCAUCAGUUUGGUUUCUUGUCUAUAUUUGUACAAAUUAUUUUUAUACUUAUGUAAGGUAAAUAUUAAGAUAUUUAUGAAUUCAGCAAGACUGAACUGGCUUAUCUAUGUUCCAAACAUAUUGAGGAAGAAGCAGGUAAUGUCAUAGCUGAAAAAGAUGCAUUUAUAAGUACCAAGGGCAUGUUUAGUGAAUUUAUUAUGAGAGACCCUCCAAGAUGUUUCAGUUAUUCUUUACGGAAGUUUGUGCAUUGAAUGUGUUGAAGGCCAGCACUACAGAAAAGCUGCUUCUUUUUCUCAGAAUAUUAGGGCUAUUAAAUUGCAUAAAAGUACCUAUAUAUAAAUUUAUUAUUUGCAAUUCUCUUUAAAUUUUGCAGGUUACUACUGCCUAAUCCAAUAUUAUAAUGUAUAGCUGUGUUUUGUUAAAGUUAAUAAACACAUUAAAUCUUCUAACUAC
Molecule: long non-coding RNA, 1366 nt
Organism: Eriocheir sinensis (Chinese mitten crab)
Lineage: Eukaryota; Metazoa; Arthropoda; Malacostraca; Decapoda; Varunidae
Exons: 3
Source: RefSeq, a predicted model, not a curated record